CAGUAGCCACGGGAAUACGGAGGAUCCAAGCGUUAUCCGGAAUCAUUGGGUUUAAAGGGUCCGUAGGCGGUCUUGUAAGUCAGUGGUGAAAGCCCAUCGCUCAACGGUGGAACGGCCAUUGAUACUGCAGGACUUGAAUUAUUGGGAAGUAACUAGAAUAUGUAGUGUAGCGGUGAAAUGCUUAGAGAUUAAAUGGAAUACCAAUUGCGAAGGCAGGUUACUACCAAUUGAUUGACGCUGAUGGACGAAAGCGUGGGUAGCGAACAGGAUUAGAUACCCGCGUAGUCCCUGUCUCUUAUAC
RNAcentral lists this ribosomal RNA (301 nucleotides) under uncultured bacterium. RNAcentral's name for it is "partial 16S ribosomal RNA". It matches the Rfam family "Bacterial small subunit ribosomal RNA", at positions 509 to 807 of the family's 1533-position model. The record is from RNAcentral.